Molecule: ribosomal RNA, 274 nt
Filed under: uncultured bacterium
Lineage: Bacteria
Description: partial 16S ribosomal RNA
Rfam family: Bacterial small subunit ribosomal RNA
Source: RNAcentral
AUACAGAGGGUGCAAGCGUUAUUCGGAAUUACUGGGCGUAAAGCGCGCGUAGGCGGAUGAUUAAGUCAGUUGUGAAAGCCCUGGGCUCAACCUAGGAACUGCAUCUGAUACUGGUCGUCUAGAGUUUAAGAGAGGGAAGUGGAAUUCCAGGUGUAGCAGUGAAAUGCGUAGAUAUCUGGAGGAACAUCAGCGGCGAAGGCGACUUCCUGGCUUAAAACUGACACUGAGGUGCGAAAGCGUGGGUAGCGAACGGGAUUAGAUACCCUAGUAGUCC